This is a long non-coding RNA of Amblyraja radiata (thorny skate), 145 nucleotides long. RefSeq lists it as uncharacterized. NCBI's taxonomy places the organism in Eukaryota, Metazoa, Chordata, Chondrichthyes, Rajiformes, Rajidae. The transcript is spliced from 3 exons. The record is from RefSeq and is a predicted model, not a curated record.
AAUACAAAGUAAAAGUAAUCAUAAUCAUACUUCAUUAGCCAAUUAUGUUCUGCAACAUACGAGGAAUUUGAUUUGCCGUACAGUCAUACUAAUAAAAAGCAACAGAACACACAAAAUACAUUUUAACAUAAACAUCCACCACAGU